GUGGGGAAUAUUGGACAAUGGGCGCAAGCCUGAUCCAGCCAUGCCGCGUGAGUGAUGAAGGCCCUAGGGUUGUAAAGCUCUUUUGUGCGGGAAGAUAAUGACGGUACCGCAAGAAUAAGCCCCGGCUAACUUCGUGCCAGCAGCCGCGGUAAUACGAAGGGGGCUAGCGUUGCUCGGAAUCACUGGGCGUAAAGGGUGCGUAGGCGGGUCUUUAAGUCAGGGGUGAAAUCCUGGAGCUCAACUCCAGAACUGCCUUUGAUACUGAAGAUCUUGAGUUCGGGAGAGGUGAGUGGAACUGCGAGUGUAGAGGUGAAAUUCGUAGAUAUUCGCAAGAACACCAGUGGCGAAGGCGGCUCACUGGCCCGAUACUGACGCUGAGGCACGAAAGCGUGGGGAGCAAACAGGAUUAGAUACCCGAGUAGUCC
RNAcentral lists this ribosomal RNA (425 nucleotides) under uncultured bacterium. Its description in RNAcentral is "partial 16S ribosomal RNA". It matches the Rfam family "Bacterial small subunit ribosomal RNA", at positions 354 to 796 of the family's 1533-position model. The record is from RNAcentral.